RNAcentral lists this small nuclear RNA (104 nucleotides) under Marmota marmota marmota (Alpine marmot). RNAcentral also lists the same sequence under 1 other name. The record is from RNAcentral. Lineage: Eukaryota; Metazoa; Chordata; Mammalia; Rodentia; Sciuridae.
GGGCUAGCUUCAGCAGCACACAUACUAAAAUUGGAAUAAUACAGAGAUUAGUGUGGCCCCUUUGCAAGGAUGGCAUACAAAUUCAUGAAGCAUUCCAUAUACUU